RNAcentral lists this long non-coding RNA (414 nucleotides) under Salvia miltiorrhiza (redroot sage). Its description in RNAcentral is "long non-coding RNA (SMIL_LNC004199)". Lineage: Eukaryota; Viridiplantae; Streptophyta; Magnoliopsida; Lamiales; Lamiaceae. The record is from RNAcentral.
AGGAACUGGGGCGACAUGUAGAAAGGAGUCUUUGGAUCAUAGAAUUCGAACUUCGGGAACUGCAAACAAGAGAUUGUUCACCGACGUCGUUUCGCCGGAGGGUAUUGCGGCUUUUGGUUCGGGAGAUGUAGAGAGUUUUUUGAGCUUUUCGAUUCUUGAAGAUGGGUGAACGGCUAUGCGUUGCCGGUUCGUGGCCCAGUGGCCGAUCGGCGACGAAAUAAACAUGUGAAGAGAGCCCACUUGAGCUCUUAUUCAAGUUUCAGGCGAGAGGGCAGGGGGUUUUUCUGGCGUCUCCCUUGCGAUUCCACGACCUCCUUGGCUGGUUUCGCGAGGGUGGUGGCGUAGGAGGGUCGUGGCGGCGGCGCGACGAGGGCGGCGCGGCCGAGUUCACGCGUUGUUGCUGCGCUCGGCGGC